This 31-nucleotide non-coding RNA is filed under the name Rattus norvegicus (Norway rat). The record is from RNAcentral. Lineage: Eukaryota; Metazoa; Chordata; Mammalia; Rodentia; Muridae.
UCCCAUUGCUCAUAUGCCAUGACACCCGUGU